Danio aesculapii is the source of this 1793-nucleotide long non-coding RNA. RefSeq lists it as uncharacterized. The record is from RefSeq and is a predicted model, not a curated record. Lineage: Eukaryota; Metazoa; Chordata; Actinopteri; Cypriniformes; Danionidae. The transcript is spliced from 6 exons.
UGAUGUAACGUAAAAUGUAUUAGUCGUUUCACCUAUAAUCUUUAUUAAACCAAAUCAAAUGAGUUCAAUAAGGUGACCCCGUUUUGCGCAUGCGUGAGACCGCGCGUUUUCACUGCCACCUGCAUUCCGUUUGUCCAUCCACCAUUUUCCACCUGUGGCUGAAGACGAGUUGAUGAGACGCCCCCGAUAACAAGAAGUCAUUUCUUUGUUUGAUCAGCUUUACAGGGUUCCUUCUGGCAACCUCCUAGUGAUAGUUAGUGUAUGUGGCAGUGCAAAAAAUGCAGUUUGGAACUAGAUAGCAGUUCUCAGACGUCUUAAAAUUGUGCAGCAGAGACCAAUGAUAGAAGAGUUCAAAAACAGAUGGCCUGCACUGUUUGAAGAGAAUGAAGUAGAUUUGUGCUGUGAAUGCAGAGUUCUUGCGAAUCACCACCAAGUCACUACAAUCAAAGUUCUUGUCACAGCUGGAUCACUUCUCUGACACAGAUCUUCAUGAAGAAAGGAGGAAUGAAGGGGCAAAGGAUCAAGGAUGUCCUGGCGAAUAAUGAUUUGUGUGAUGACAUCAACACCAAAAGGGAGUGCCUCCUGAGAAGCCUUGUCAUCUACCUCAGUGAAGAUCCUGACUUAUUUUUUUAAGGCAUAUUUGGUCUCUGGCACUGAGGAUGUGGAGAGGGACAUCUCAAGCACAAUCAUGGGGAUUUACAUUAUUCGAAGUUAUGACAAUGGGGAGCCAGAGGAUGUGGGAAUUGUGAUUGAAGGCAUUAAAGUCCUGACCAACGUAGGCAGUGUCAUCAUGGGUUUCAUCGUGUUGUUUGGGCUAAUUUAUGCCCUUGACCUGAGCUUUCCAGAAAACCUCAAGUACACCUUUGAGUUCAUCCAGAAAAUCAUUAUGAAUCUGGAUGGACACAAGCUCAAUCCAAAGAUACAGCAGCUGAAAAUCAAAUUGCAAAUCAAACAUCUGCACGUCGUAGCUCAUUCAAAUACAGUAUUGUGUCUCCAUUACUCUCGUACCUGUCAGGUGAUUGCAUGACUCAACACUUUUUGAAAUGGACUUGAAUUGAUGUUGAAACCGGAUUCAACACACUACAGAUUUUUGAAUUAUGACUGGCCAGACCAAUACUCGCACAGCUAGUCAAAUGUUCAGAGAUUGUUUGUACAAGAUUUGGUGACAAUGGGUCUCCUUCUUAUAAGUAUACUGUCUUGGUCUGUUUUCACCUUCCUAUAGCCCAAAUUUGGUCCCCACAGCCAGUUUUUUUUUUUUUUUUUUAACUGUGUUUUUGUUUGAAUUGACCAUUUGUACUACACAUAUUGAAAAUGCUGUACCUCUUGAGUAGCCAGACAUUUUUCAUUUCCUUACUGUGCUCAUGUUAUGCCGUUUAAGAAAUGUUACAAAAAUGUUUGCUGCUUUACAUUUCAUUAAAUGUGCUCCGUUUUAGGUAGAUUUUCUUUUUUUUUUUUUUUGUGCAUUAACAUGCAAGACUGGUUUUACAUCUCUUGGUUUUAAGGUCUGACAUACUACAAUUUAAAUUAGUCAAGUAAAACAGGCAGUAGUUUCUGCCUCUAUUGUUCAACAUAUAUCUAUAUAUAUUGUGCUAAUUUUAAUGCAGGUUAUAAUUAAGUUGAAUGUUGAUCAAGCUAGCAUUCAGAUUUAUUGGAAUAUUUUCAUUUUGCAUACUUUGCUGGUGCCUCUACUCCCUUAAUGUGUUUGUGGCUUUGGGGGACAUGGGAUACAUUUAGUUCACACCAAGUGCAAGACCUGUGGAAGUGUUUCUAACAGUUUUUUUUCCAAUAAAAAA